This 5710-nucleotide long non-coding RNA is filed under the name Sus scrofa (pig). RNAcentral's name for it is "lncRNA (ENSSSCG00000057587.1)". Lineage: Eukaryota; Metazoa; Chordata; Mammalia; Artiodactyla; Suidae. The record is from RNAcentral.
GGCCACACCCACAACAUAUGAAAAUUCCCAGGCCAGGGAGUGAAUCCGAACUGCAGCUGCAACCUAUAUGACAGCUGCAGCAGCACUGGAUCCUUAACCCACUGCACUGGGUCAGGGAUCACGCCCACACUGCCACAGAGACAACACCUGAUCUUAACCCACUGUGCUAUAGUGGGAACUCCCACACAAUGGAAUUCUAUGCAGACAUUAAAAUCAUAUUGUAAGGGAUUUUUUAAUAUGGAAAGUUGUCCAUGGUAUGUUAUUGACAGAAAAAAAGCACAUUUAAAAAAACCAGCAUGGGUAAAAAUCAUCAUUUUGAUUUAAUAAAUAAAUUGUGUGUGUGUGUGUCUACACAGAAAAAUCUGAUAGGCAUAAAUACUGACAUGGUUAUCUGUGAGAGAUAAAAAUAAGGAUAGUUUCACACCCUUCUCAUACCCUUUCUUUUUUUCCUCAACUCACAACAUUUUAAUAUUGUAAUGUAAUUUCUCAGUUUUAAAAUUUUUUUCUCCAAAGUUGGGAACAGCCGUUCCCCAUCCCCAUUCCAGGUCCCUCUUAGCUUCAGAACCCACACCACUUAUGAAUCCAGUCCAACCAAGAUACAACAGUGGAAAGGGAAAACCGACCUUCAGUGCCUUGUAGGUUUCAAUUUCCGCCAUUUGUGCUGGCCACCCACCACCACCUCCGAGGAAGCUCCCACCAGAAACUGAUAACUGAGUUUCACCUAGUACAACCAGUUACAUCCAUCAAACCUAUUUCUUCGGGACAUCUGCUUCCACGUGUAAUGGGACUAGGUUAUCUGGUAGAACGAUUUCUUAAUGCAAAAAUUAAGGUAAUGCCUCAUCUGUCAUCGUUCACAGGAAUAGUUACAUUUUGAAGUAAAUAUCAACACACAGAAAUACCUCUAAUGUGACAUGGCAGCUUUCAAGAAACAAGACCAUGUUGAGAAUGUAUUUCCCUCUGACGGGGGAGAGGUGACGCAGGAGAGAUGACACAAUGACAGCCAGCAAUGUUUGGCUGUUUUGUGCCUCAUACUGUACUUUGUAGAAUUAAAAAUCCUUUGUGGGAUUAAGGAAUAUAAAUACUGUAAACAACAUAUGUAUAUGCUAUUGCUAUACCCACUUCAUAGAUGAGAAAACAGAGGCUUAAGGAGUUUAACACUCGCCCAAGGAUAUAUAAACAAUAAGUAGCAGAGCUGGGAUCCUAUAACAGGUGGCCUGGCCUAGGUUUCUGCUCCCUAACUGACUAUGUCAGGGACUAUGUGGUUUAUGGAGCAUCUGAAAUUCACAGCUCAAUUUAAUUCAGUCUCCAACAAUGAUCAGAGUAGUGUCUGGGGUAGGUGAUAUUAUGGGUGAAUAAAACAUGAUCGGGAACCCUCGAGAGGCUUAUCCUGAUUUAGCAACCUAUUCCAGCCACGGAAGAAGAAAAACCAACGUUCUCAAGUAUUACCAUCUUCUAGACUAGCAGAUGUCAAAUUGUGGUCUCUGGACUAGCAUCGCCUGAGAUCUUAUUAGAAAUGCAGGCCCCAACCCCAGACUCACUGCAUCAGAAUCUCUGGGAACGGGGUCCAGGAUCUGUGUCUAGCAAUACCCUCCCGGAAAGACGACGGGCUUUAGGCACCCUUCCUGUGUGUCACAGGAGUUAGUUCUCUCAUUGGUCCUCACAACAGGUUUUUAAAGCCAGCUCAUAAUUCCAGAUGAGGAAACUGAGGAAUGGGGCACUGGAUUGAUGAUGUCCCAAAGCAACAGCAGUUAAGCAAUAAGGCUGGAAAUCUAACCCACUUCUGUGAGGGGCUCCUGCUAAGGUGAGGUGAAUGGGACAGAGAGAGCACUUCUUUUGACUCUGCUCCCACUUAAUCGCAACCGUCUUGUUUGCAGGUGGCUGCACCAUUAAAAACACUCUACAAAGGUGUAUCAAGGAAUGCAAUUUAAUGAGAAACUCAGAUGCAUGUGGGCACUUACCUCAUAAUAACAUUCUACUUAUGAAAGGAUGCUAUAGUGUAAUUAGACUCCGGGAGGCCAAGCAAAAGGGGAAAAAGUGGCUCUUAUUUUAACUGCUUCACAAUAAUGGAGUGUUGCCCGAGAGUUAUUCACACAACAGAUGCUGUGAAGAUGUGUGCUGAUUCUGUGGGUUGCGGCAUAACCCUCUGCGAUGGACCCUCCAGUCCUCUGGCACACAGACAUAAGUCCUCCCUAAGCAAUGUGUAGUGCUUGCAGCACAACUAUAAAUCGAAGCUAAUGGGAGAAAACGCAGCUCCUCCACUCAGGCUUUCUGAAAAUAUUUGCCUGCGACGUUUUGUGCCACAGAGAUUGCAUGCACACAUACGAAAAGACAGUAUUCAUUCCGGGCUGGCUUCAUUUGGAGAGCCAGAUUAGGGAAGGUAAUCAAGAACAUUUCACUGUUACCUAGUAAAUAAGUUAAAUGGUCCCUGCGGUUCUUCAUUAAAACUUUUAUGGUAUGUUCAUCAAUUACCAAACAGCUUGAACAAAGCAGAGGUAAAUUAACUUUCUCACAUCCACACGGCUUGCCAAAAAGAGGGUUCUCAACGCAAUUCCAUUGGUUUAAAGUUCAUCCAAAAUACUAUUAGCUUAGAGUCCAAUUUUGAACUGUCAAGGGGAAUAUAUACAAUGGUAAUUUCAGAUCAUUAUCAUGGCAUUCCAAUGCAAAUGGCCACAAUUUAAUUCAUUAUCACUAACAUUAUAUCUUUAUUUUGCUACCAACUGGUGACUGACAUUUCCAGGGCCACAAGAAGCAAAUGCUAAUUAGACCAUGGUGUACUCUUACCCUUUCUUCUUUUGCUGCAUUUUUCCAUCUUCAGGGAGACCCCGCAGGAGGCUACGUCUGACCAGCUGCUGGCCCUUGACACUCCUUCUCCUGGGCCCUGAGCCAGGCUACCAUUCCUGGGACAAAGUAAAGCUCCUGUGAAUUUCCCCGUUCUGUGCACUGUGCCUCCGAAAGGGAGCCUAUGCAAUGCAAUGACCCCUUCCUUAGAUCACCCACCAACCUAAUUUAGAAAGUCUAAAGCACUCCAGGGUGACAGAGCACAGGCAUUAACAUGCAAACAAACGGCCACAAAAGUUCAAAUUUGCAUUUAGACUGGACAAAAGGGAAAGAAAUGGCUUUCUAUGCUGUUCCUUGCAUCAUCAGAGUUUCACAAAUUACUAAUCUCUGAAAUGAUGCCAGAAGGGAACUUGCUCUGCUCCUCUCAUUCAUGCUUAGGUGGACUCAAUUCAUCUCUGAAAAUCACGCCUUUUCACUCUCAACAUGAGAUGAGAAAGAGCUGUAAAAUCUCAAAUAGCUCCAGUGAAAUGUUUAAUGUGUUCAAAUGAAAGCAAUUAGUAAGUACAAAUUUGAAAUUCCUCAGAUCUUUGGGCUACAGACUCAGGGAACAGACAUAAAACAUGGAUUUUCUUUCCAUUUCCUUGAUACGUCACAAUAAUUCUACCUUGUCUAUCUCUAAAAACUCUGCAAAAAUGUUAUUCAUUCUCUCAUUAUUUAGCCACAAUAAUAAUAAUGAUAGAUGGUCAUUAUAGGCCAGGUACCCAGCAACUAGCUUUGCGUACUUUGAUGUUCAAAACAAUCCUGAAAGACAUAAAUUGGGUUAUCAAUGAGGAAGAGGAGUUGGCUAGUACAAACUGUUGACUUCAAGGCUCCUUCAAGGAGACGGAACUCAAAGUUAUCUUCGGGCCAAGACAAAAAUUACCAGACCCUUAUCAUCAGCCCACCCACCUCACUGUAACGCCUCUUCCCCCACCCCGAGGAACCUGGCCUACUCCUUCCUACCCCCUACUAGGAAAGGCAUGUGGCCCCUCCUCACCAGGCCCUACAUGGUAUUAUACACCCCUAACAAAUCAGAAAGCAUAUCUUAAGACCCCUCCUUCCCCAACCAAUCAGCAGGUGAAUGGGUAUAUCCUGAGACCUCUCCUCUCCCUGGGCUAUAACCAGACACAACCACACACUCAAGGUCGGCUCUCCCUGAUUAUCAGGAAGUCAGUCCACUGUUUUAAUAGCAUCUUGUCUUUUCUUCACUUUGCUUGGAAUCUGGCAAAUUCUUCUUUCCAAGCUAUGUGGGCAUAUCAUGACCCAAAAGAUAAUAGUAACUCUAGUUAGUCAGGGUGAUGGGUUCCUUCUAUUAACUGUUUUCUCUUUCCUACGUCUCUAUGUAUUUCUCUACUUGUGUUUCUUUCACUUCCCAAGUCAACCCUUUUCAUUCAAAUCCUUGUCAGAGUAUGGCUCUGGAGAAACCCCAAUUAGGACAACAGAAGAUAGUAUGAUCGAGCAAUCAAAACUUUACCUGCCCCAUGCAUUGAAUGUGAAAUGAAUACAUAAACUAUUUCGGUAUCACCAGAGCAAAAAGUAGAUGGAUGACAAGGAGUUCAAAAAUGAAUAAAUCUGAAAUGCUUUUCUCUGUACUGAAAUCCACCUAGGCUAGAAAGAAUGUAUCCUUUACCAUGACUGAUACAUUUAUAAUUUAAGGUUUCAAGCACAGUUACAAUUAGGUAGGUGUACCUGGCUUGGAAUUAUGCUUUAGAAAGUUGGCAUGUAGAAAGCCACCGCUGUACUUAAAAUACCUAAUUUUGAAUGCAGCCUUCCAAAAACAUGAGCUUGGGCCCCGGAAAGGAUGCACUUCUCAUUAACAACUUUCCAAAACUAGUUUCCUUCAUCCGAAACCUAAUCAUUAAUAAAUUUCACUUGAAUAACUAUAUGCUUGGCCUGAAAGAAAAAUGAGGCUUCAUGUGUUACAUGUGCCAUUGCUCCCUACUUCUAAAAAAUAAGUGUCCUGCUGAAAAAAACCAUGUGUCCUGGGGCCCGAGACUAAUAGGAGUUUCAAGGCCUGUUUUAUGUUUGCAAGUUAAUCUUUCUUUGUCCUCCAUCUCAGCCAGCAAAUACAAUAUCAUAAUAACACAACUCGUCCCUGUGUUUUUGAACUUGGCUUUGGAUUGGGGAUCAUUGUGUCUUUGCUUUCAGAUGGCUCACUUUGAUGUAUUCUAUUUCAAAGGAAGAGAUAAAACCCAAAGUUCAUUCUCACAAUGGGACACCCUUUAGAGCCAAAGAGAAAUUUUGGUCCUCUUUGUGGCACACAGCAGCCCAGAUUCACUUUGAGAUCCUCUCUUGAAAGUCCCUGGGCAAGUGCAAAACGGCUUCAGUGAUUUAUUUUGCCACUGAGAGAACAGAAUUGCUGUGGCCCCCUCCAUUGCACCAGUGGGCAGACUCAAAUUGUGGGAGUGAAGCAGGGAGAAGACCUCAGGGGAAAAGGCAUCCUCAUUGCCUCUUCCUAAUUACUAGCCAUGUAGCUAAGCUCUUCAGCACUCGUGGUUCCACUGCGUAUACACAGCAUCUAUAUACAUCUUUGGAGGUCUUCAUCUGGACAGGAGGAAGGAAGGAUCCAUUCAAAUUUACUUUCUUAUCUCUCUUUUACUCUCUCUUUCUCCCUCUAACUCAACUAUAAUUAUAGCAAAGAAAAAAGACUAUUUUGGGAGUUCCCAUUGUGGCUCAGCAGAAACAAAUCUGACUAGUAUCCAUGAGGAUGCCAGGUCGAUACCUGGCCUUGCUCAGUGGGUCAGGGAUCUGGCGUUGCCAUGAGCUGUGGCAUAGGUCACAGACGCAGCUCGGAUCCCACGUUGCUGUGGCUGUGGCAUAGGCUGGAAGCUGUAGCUCUUAUCUGACCCCUAGUCUGGGAACUUCUGUAUGCCACAGGUGCAGUCCUAAAGAG